This 200-nucleotide unclassified non-coding RNA is filed under the name soil metagenome. RNAcentral's name for it is "partial contains internal transcribed spacer 2 and large subunit ribosomal RNA". The record is from RNAcentral.
UGGGGGUCUUUGCAGGCUUUUUUUAAUCUGAAAGGUCGGCUCCCCUGAAACGCAUUAGUGGCAUCUGAGCUGCUACUAUAGGUGUGAUAAAUUAUCUAUGCCUUUGGUAUGCUGCAUGAACGGAUUGCGCUGCUUACAACGACGAAAAAGAACUUGACAAACUUGACCUCAAAUCAGGUAGGACUACCCGCUGAACUUAA